This 301-nucleotide ribosomal RNA is filed under the name uncultured bacterium. RNAcentral's name for it is "partial 16S ribosomal RNA". It matches the Rfam family "Bacterial small subunit ribosomal RNA", at positions 509 to 807 of the family's 1533-position model. The record is from RNAcentral.
CAGCCGCCACGGUAAUACGUAGGUGGCAAGCGUUGUCCGGAAUUAUUGGGCGUAAAGGGCUCGCAGGCGGUUUCUUAAGUCUGAUGUGAAAGCCCCCGGCUCAACCGGGGAGGGUCAUUGGAAACUGGGAAACUUGAGUGCAGAAGAGGAGAGUGGAAUUCCACGUGUAGCGGUGAAAUGCGUAGAGAUGUGGAGGAACACCAGUGGCGAAGGCGACUCUCUGGUCUGUAACUGACGCUGAGGAGCGAAAGCGUGGGGAGCAAACAGGAUUAGAUACCCCUGUAGUCCCUGUCUCUUAUAC